This is a non-coding RNA of Oncorhynchus mykiss (rainbow trout), 3133 nucleotides long. NCBI's taxonomy places the organism in Eukaryota, Metazoa, Chordata, Actinopteri, Salmoniformes, Salmonidae. The record is from RefSeq and is a predicted model, not a curated record.
GGUGGUGGAACUGUUCAAGAGGCUGGAAAAGGAGGUCCACCUGAGAGCUCUGAGGAAAGCCCUCCGCAGCCCCUAGCCCACCUCACCCUCAUCAUGCAUGAGGGUCUUUCUCUGCAGCAGAGCCGUAUUGCGGUCCUGGUGACCAACCUCAGUGGCCCCAACCUUCAGUGGCUUGUGGAGGCUGCCUGCUGUCUCUACGAGCUGUCCCACUCCCUCCACACCCUACCUGAUCAUCUUCCUGUCUGGACAGAGGCCCAAAUUCAGUCAGUCCCACAGUUCUGUCAAUGGAGUGGACCCACCUGCCAUUGUCUCUCCCAGCUCGUCUCAGCGAACCACGCAGCAGGGAGAAUCAUCCCGUAAGUUAACAUUAUGGCCUUAGCUUGGUGAUAAUAAUAUACUAUAUUGUAGAAACGUCAUUAGACACCUUUCAGAGAUGCCAUUGAGAGAUCCAUUCAUAGUCAGUAUUAUGCUCUCCUGUCAGACAGACAGACAGACAGACUGCCACUGUCUGUCUGUCUGUCUGUAAUAUGUAGGGGAAAGGGUUCCAUUUGGGGACACACACUAUAACCUGGGUGUUUUUAUUUUUAAAAUGUACCUUUAUUUAACCAGGCAAGUCAGUUAAGAACAAAUUCUUAUUUUCAAUGACGGCCUAGGAACAGUGGGUUAACUGCCUUGUUCAGGGGCAGAACAACAUAUUUUGACCUUGUCAGCUCGGGGAUUCGAUCAGUUACAAGACCAACGCUCUAACCACUAGGCUACCUAACGUCCCUGGGUGACGUUACAACCUGCCGGUGUAACAUGUCACCCAGGAGGACCAGCUACUAUGUAUUGUUGCCAUGGAUAUAGUACUAUUAUACAGGAUGUGGUGGCACUGCGUGAUUCACAGUCUGUUUGUUGCUCAAUAGCAACGUGUACAAAAUGGCGCCGACAGAGAGGGCCGUCUCGCUUCUAGUCCUUAGGAACUUUGCUGUAUUUUGUUUUUUUAUGUAUUAUUUCUUAGAUAGUUAGCCCAGAAAAUCUUGUGUUAUUACUUUUUCAAAUAUUACAAGUAUUUCACUAAACUCGCAAUAACAUCUGCUAACCAUGUGUAUGUGACCAAUAAAAUGUUAUUUGACUUGGUGGCCCAAUGGACUCUUCUACAGUGCACUUCCCUCCUGCUGACACUUGGUGGUGGUGUUGCUAAAGGGAGUAUAGAGGAGAGAAUGGAGCUGUUGAUCUGGCCCCUGCUGCCCUGGGUGGGGAACCUGCUGUUAUCUGGGCCCCUAGGGGUCCUGCAGACCCAACUAAACGAUAGCCGUCUCCUGGAUGCUCUGUGUGCGUUUGCUCAGGUCUUCCUCCAGACCCACCUAGACCUGUCCAGAGAGAGGGUCUGGGUCCUCAACAACCACACAGUUGGGGGAGGAGUUUGUGAGGCAGAGUGGGCUCCCCCUGCUGGAAGCCACCCAGUAUAACAGCCAGGAUAAUUUACACCUCAGAGCAACACACCUGCUGGAACAUCCCCUGCCCCCACGGUGAGGACUCUUGCCCUAACACAGGCUGUGUUUGUGUGUAUGUCCAGACUUUUAAGAGUGCUUUGUUCUGUUGUUAAAGCUGGAAACCUCUUCAUCCCCAUGAGGAACCUGCAGAACAGGAGUGCCACAAAAAAAGACUUCCAAAUGUUUUAACAAGGUUUAGUCAGAAGACCUACCAUGUACAUUUAAAAUGUUUUUAUGAAAUGAUGUGAUGUAUAAAUGUUUUUAUGAAAUGAUGUGAUGUUCAAAUGUUUUUUCAAUAAUAUGAUGUGCUGGAUAUCUGUACAGUAAAACAAUCAGAUGUUAUUUUUAUACUGUUUUUAUAAAAUGCAAAAUUCUAAUAACAGAAUGUGAUUUGUCUUAAGAACCUCUUGAUUUCAAUAGAUAGCAGAUGUGUUUUGACCGGUAGCCUAGGAGUUAACAACUGUCGAUGUGCGCUUGAGCAAGGCACCUAACCCCAAUUGCUUCUGUAAGUCACUCUGGAUAAGAGGGUCUCCUCAAUGACUCAAAUGUAAAUUAAUUGUUUUGUUUUUGGAGAAACGGGAAAAAGUAUCUGCAGUCAGACGCAAAUGUAUUUUAAUAGAGGCUAAGCUUUUGAUCAGUCCACCUUCAUCAGAGCAUAUUAAAAGGUGUGUGUGCGCGAGAUUGACCCUGUAACCUCUUCCCCAGGCUAAUUGUGCAUAGCCAGGAAGUGUCCGGUGAACGAGGUUAGUGACUCAACAACAGUAUGUUGUACACCAUGUUUCCAUCAGUCAUCAGGUUUUAUAAAGGUUGAUUACCUCUGAUAACAUUACCUUUGUCUGGGUUGUGUGUUUCAGAAAAUCUAAGAGGCCAGCCCUUGACCAUCCCAGUGGUCAGAUAGCCAGAGAGGCUGGCUGGUACAAUGUGUGUGUGGAAUAGUGAGACCGACUGAUAGUGUCGGAUAGUUAAAACGUGCUCCAUACCUGUCCUAUACCUGCAUGACACCUGAUAAGGUAUGGGAACGUCCCUUAGUCGACACUCACCUGUAGAGCCUGUCAGCUGGUGCAGAGGUACAGCCUGGCUCCUUAGAUCCCCUGCCAAUCAACGCCCGUCCUAGAGACCUGCAAUCUACUCCGUCUGUUUACAUUGGCAAAGUUCAGACAAAAAGGCCAACGAUAACAGGGUUGAAAAGGGUAGACUAUAAUAUCUGUGAUUGACCUAUUUUCUUUCAGAGAGUCAAGUUGUUUUGAAUUUCAAUUAAAGAAAAAGUUUGAAUGUUGGGAAAACGGUCAACCAAGUGAAAAAUGGAUGCCCAUUUGCAGACUACCCCAAGAAGUAUGUGUUAUCAAAAUAGAACAACAGGUUGGCAUCCCUGUGAUCUCCAAGGUCAAUGGAAGUACUGGGCUCUCGAAAUGUGUUGGUUUUUACAAAGUCAAUAUCGGUCAGCGUACUAGUAAUAUUGCCACUUAAAUGUAUUAGGCUCACAUGGGCCUUUUACAUGAUAUUCCUUUUUACAAGAUAUUACAUAGAAAACAGACAUGUUUUAUAGCAUGUCAUCUGUUAUGUUUUUACUUGUACUCUUCUUCUCUGCUAUCUGCACUUCUCUUCUUUCUGACCCCUCCCUCCUCUGACCCCUUCCUCUCUGACCCCUCCUCCCUCUU